This is a long non-coding RNA of Cyprinus carpio carpio, 355 nucleotides long. The record is from Ensembl. NCBI's taxonomy places the organism in Eukaryota, Metazoa, Chordata, Actinopteri, Cypriniformes, Cyprinidae.
GGUGGUCUGAUUAUGCAUGGAUGGAUUGCUUUGUUCAGGAGAAGUUAACUGAAUGGCAGCUUCCAGAACUUGUUAAUAGUUUUGAAGAUGCAAAGGGAAAUCUUGCACUAAAGCUGUUACCUGUUUUGCUUCCACCUCCACCCUACAAAAUUGGCAGAAAAACAGUCCGGCCCAGCAUUGAUGAAAGCAAAAAAGCUUUCAUUGACAUUCAACCUGUAAGUACGACUCAAGAAAUUUACUUCAAUCAUUUAAUGACUUUACCAGGUUGAAUACACUACCAUUCAAAAGUUUGGGAUCGGCAUGAUUUUUUAUGUUUUUAAAUUAAGUAAUUUAUUUGAUCCAAAUACAGCAAAAA